UCUCAUCCGAAUGGAGAUUAAACAACUGAUAAAGAUGAAAAUGUCCAAUGGAAAUCUUACAAAUCUCCAUUCAAAUAAGAUAACUGCCGAGAAUAACGCGCAACACCCUUUACUUCUAGAAUGAUCAGGAUUAAUUUGUUGACUCUUAAGAAUUGAGUUAAAUUGUUUUUUUAUGAGAUUACGCUCUAGGUUAGUUGUCUCAUUAGCUUUUCUCGGACAAGUAUUUCUCGAAAUCACUUAAACGAAUAAGUAUCUAUGGGUCUCGUACCAAUUUAAGGAGCCGAUGCCGAUUUAAUUUAAGCACUAAAAUUGGCAUUCUAAGACCAUCGAUCACGAACUUUGCAUCCUCUGUUCGAUUUGAUUAAUCGAUUGAUUGAUUGAAAUCGAGACACUCACAAUUGUCAGCAUGUUUUUGAAAGAUGUUGGUGCCUUUUAAUUUGGUUUUAAUUUGUUUUAAUUUGUUUUUUAUUCGUUUACAACUUAAUUAUAAUUGGAUCUGAGGUCAUUCUGAGAUGGUAGCCUGUAACUCGAGUGUCUUGUCAAGGUGUUUCCACCAAAAUUCUGAACUCCAUGAGUAGGAUAUCGUCUGAGUCGUCUGACUUCCUUCAUGUAUUUAACAAUAUCAAACUCAUGGACCAGAUCUCUGAACAACAUCGCCAUCUAUAGUAUAGUAUAGGAGCUGAGGCCAAGCUUAAUAUGGCUACAAGAGGGGUGGAUUCUGAGCCAUCCAGCCAUGUUACUGGCUUCAGGGAUGGAAAGCUGUCCGCGCUAUAAAUGUUUAUAACAUGCGCCUCCAACACUUACAGCCAUGUCAUUAAGGAAAUCUUCAACAUCUGUUCAUCUCAACUUUACUAAUAUUGGUAACAAUUCCUGUAACGCGAUUAGACUUUGGAGGCCUCGAUGAUAAAAUGAUUUAAUGUUAUUCAAAAUCUACGAAAAUUGUGAGAAAAACAGAAUCGAGAUGCUGAUUUUCACAUUGAUUGCAGUUGUUACACAUCGUCGGACUACAAUGUAAGUCUUCUCAUCGCUCGUGUCUGUCUGAAUUAAUUCAAGUUGGGCAGCUAAAAUUCACCAACUAUUGAAGGCACUACCCGUUUGUAUCGCCGAGUUUCAACUCUGGAUAUCAACCACGUGUUCAGCCACCAUGCCAAAAGGAACCAUACGAUGAUGCAUCAUGUUUCGAAUGGAAUAAAUAUUCUUGCUGUGAAUUACGUCGAGUCAAUUCAUUGUUAUUUUCAAAUUAAAAAUUAAAAAUUCAAUUUUAUAACUA
Tetranychus urticae (two-spotted spider mite) is the source of this 1270-nucleotide long non-coding RNA. RefSeq lists it as uncharacterized. NCBI's taxonomy places the organism in Eukaryota, Metazoa, Arthropoda, Arachnida, Trombidiformes, Tetranychidae. The record is from RefSeq and is a predicted model, not a curated record.